GCCUCCAUAGUUUAGUGGUAGAGUGUUAGUCUUGUAAACUAAAAGUAUGUAGUUCGAUCCUGCAUGGGGGCA
Nelumbo nucifera (sacred lotus) is the source of this 72-nucleotide non-coding RNA. Lineage: Eukaryota; Viridiplantae; Streptophyta; Magnoliopsida; Proteales; Nelumbonaceae. The record is from Rfam.